Schistosoma rodhaini is the source of this 45-nucleotide non-coding RNA. The record is from Rfam. NCBI's taxonomy places the organism in Eukaryota, Metazoa, Platyhelminthes, Trematoda, Strigeidida, Schistosomatidae.
AUCCAGUUAGUGAGUCCAAAAUAGAACUAAAUGCGCGUCCUGGAU